This 253-nucleotide ribosomal RNA is filed under the name uncultured bacterium. RNAcentral's name for it is "partial 16S ribosomal RNA". It matches the Rfam family "Bacterial small subunit ribosomal RNA", at positions 524 to 776 of the family's 1533-position model. The record is from RNAcentral.
UACGUAGGGUGCGAGCGUUGUCCGGAAUUAUUGGGCGUAAAGAGCUUGUAGGCGGUUUGUCGCGUCUGCCGUGAAAAUCCGAGGCUCAACCUCGGACUUGCGGUGGGUACGGGCAGACUAGAGUGUGGUAGGGGAGACUGGAAUUCCUGGUGUAGCGGUGAAAUGCGCAGAUAUCAGGAGGAACACCGAUGGCGAAGGCAGGUCUCUGGGCCACUACUGACGCUGAGACGCGAAAGCGUGGGUAGCAAACAGG